GACGUGACCUUAUGAGAAUGUGGAUUUGAGGAGGAUAAAUAUCCCAAAGAGAUUCGACAUGAGAGAUUGUGUGUGAUAGUGUGUGACAUAGUUUCGGUGUUUGGUGCUUGUGUGAUUAAGCUGAUUUAUGUGUUGGUGUUGACGGUGUGUGGCGGUUGCUCCAAGACAUGGAGAAGUGAAGUCUAGGCUCAUGGGGAAUUUAGCUCAAGGUGAGGUUAUCUUUAUGA
Molecule: long non-coding RNA, 227 nt
Organism: Arabidopsis thaliana (thale cress)
Lineage: Eukaryota; Viridiplantae; Streptophyta; Magnoliopsida; Brassicales; Brassicaceae
Product: other RNA
Exons: 2
Source: RefSeq